GAUGAACGCUGGCGGCGUGCCUAAUACAUGCAAGUCGAGCGAACAGACGAGGAGCUUGCUCCUCUGACGUUAGCGGCGGACGGGUGAGUAACACGUGGAUAACCUACCUAUAGACUGGGAUAACUUCGGGAGACCGGAGCUAAUACCGGAUAAUAUAUUGAACCGCAUGGUUCAAUAGUGAAAGACGGUUUUGCUGUCACUUAUAGAUGGAUCCGCGCCGCAUUAGCUAGUUGGUAAGGUAACGGCUUACCAAGGCAACGAUGCGUAGCCGACCUGAGAGGGUGAUCGGCCACACUGGAACUGAGACACGGUCCAGACUCCUACGGGAGGCAGCAGUAGGGAAUCUUCCGCAAUGGGCGAAAGCCUGACGGAGCAACGCCGCGUGAGUGAUGAAGGUCUUCGGAUCGUAAAACUCUGUUAUUAGGGAAGAACAAAUGUGUAAGUAACUAUGCACGUCUUGACGGUACCUAAUCAGAAAGCCACGGCUAACUACGUG
This 496-nucleotide ribosomal RNA is filed under the name uncultured bacterium. RNAcentral describes it as "partial 16S ribosomal RNA". It matches the Rfam family "Bacterial small subunit ribosomal RNA", at positions 28 to 507 of the family's 1533-position model. The record is from RNAcentral.